Pelobates cultripes (western spadefoot toad) is the source of this 336-nucleotide non-coding RNA. The record is from the annotation of a GenBank genome assembly. NCBI's taxonomy places the organism in Eukaryota, Metazoa, Chordata, Amphibia, Anura, Pelobatidae.
AGGGCGGAAGCCAGACUGAAGAGGGUCAAGGAGAGAGUUGGAAUUAAGGAAGCGGGACACACGGGUAAAGACAACAUGAAAUAAUACUUUAUUAAUUGGUAGGUGUUAAGUGGUUCUCUUAAUGCUCUGCCUACUAAGGGUGAUGUCACUGGGACCACAAGGGUCUCCCCCGGAUUCCAGCGCCAUCUUGUUACACGAGGUAGUUAGUCGGUGUUAUGGGGGGGAGGGGUUAGAAGCUUCUAGUGGCCAUUUUGUCUAAACAUGUGUUAAUAGCUCAUUCACUGAUUUCGGUUAGAUGAGUAAAUAGACAUUUUACUAACUAGAAAUUAUGUCAAU